GAAAAUAAAACAAUAGCAAUAGAAGGACCAAUAACCAAUACGCGAAGACAGCUAGGGGCUAAAACCAGUAAAAUACCAGAUCCUAAAAUGCAGUGCUCAAGUGCGGAUCCAUUUGUAAACAAGUGUAAAUUACAAGGCCAAAUUAAAAGAGUAAAUAAGACGAAUGGAAUGUAAUUGACUGCGCAUACGAAAGGGGGAGGGUCUGGCGAGUAAAUAUCCCCUCACCGCGAAAACACGCGGAUCCCAGGGGCACUCGGGCCGGAUCCAAUCGGGCAUAAACACACGGCACCAUUUUGGAGCCAUUGGAACGGGCCCAAACGGUGCCGUUUUUGGUUCUAUAAAAGCCUCAAACAAGGCCACAUUCGGCCGAUUCAAGAACCCCAGCCCCGUUUUGCUUCUCCAACCGACCUAUAACCCUCCUUCUCAGGCACCGAUUCGUCUCCCUAAACGGCGAUCGGUACCUUCAUGCCUUGAAGGACAUUUCUUAGCCUCAUGACUCCAUUUUGACUCCGAUAUCGACGAAACCAAAAGAAGUCUAUGGCAUAUUCGCAAGGUAUUUUCUUAUCCUUAUGCUUUUAUACCCUUUUUUGUGACGAUGAUGGAUUUGAAUCAAUGCUAAAUAACAGGAAGAAGGAAGAAAAAAAGAAGAAAGGUAUAUAAAAACGAGAGCCAAAAUCACCUCUCUGUUUUCUGAUCGAUCCUUGUUAUCUCUUUGCUUGUACACUAUGCUUUUUUUUGUAUUUUUUCUGUGAACCCCCAUACAAUAUCAAAUCAUCGGCUUUAUAGCCGAAUGUUCAAAAAAAGGAAAUAAAGAAUACAAUUUUGUUCUUUUUUCAUAUUGGCCACUAUUACUGUUGUCGUUUUGUCCAUUUUUUUGCAGGUACAACUGCGUGGCGUGUACGAGGGCGUGUGCUGGCGUACGAGGGCUGUGGCGUGGCCGCUGGAGGGUACGGAGGCCAGGGCUGCCGAAACGCUGGAAGUUGUACGGUGCUGGACCUAGGGUUUCAACUUUCGAAGCUGAAAUUUGGGCCAUCUGGGCCAUUUCAGGAUUGGACCAUAUUGUAAAAUGAGUUUAAAAUUUGGGCUUCGAUUUGUAUUUGGAUUAAUUGGGUAUUCUAUUAGGCUAAAACUGGGUUUGGGUCUGAUAGGGUUAUUUAAUGGACUGAGGUUUAUUUAUUUAUUGUAUAUUUGGAUUUCUAGUGGGUCUAGGUAAAUUUGGCCCACUACAAGUGACUAAAAUGUAGUCUAAGGCAAACAAAAGUGAUUAUUUUUGUUUACCCAUUAAUUUGAAAAAUCACAAAUUAAUUCUCAUGUCAUUUUCAUAUUUAGUGAGAAAACCACGUUCAUUUCCUAAUGUUUUCCAUUUCUUUAACUCUAUCAUUUCUAUCCAUAAAUGUUCAUUUGAU
This 1406-nucleotide long non-coding RNA is filed under the name Gossypium barbadense (sea-island cotton). Its description in RNAcentral is "long non-coding RNA (GBAR_LNC001799)". The record is from RNAcentral. Lineage: Eukaryota; Viridiplantae; Streptophyta; Magnoliopsida; Malvales; Malvaceae.